GCUCCACAGACAAAUGCGCUGGACAUUUCCGAUCAUGGGAUCCAGGACCGGAGUGUCGUCUGCAACCACUGCGAAGCCCUCCCCGAUUUCGCUGGACUUCCUUCCUGGAUACGUUUGCCGACCGAGGAAUGUCCGUGUCUUGCCCUGCGCCCACGCAUUUCGCGCCCACGCUUUUCGCGCGCAACUUUCGUGGGGGAUUCUGGCAGAGAUGGAUUUUUCGAUUGGUAUUACCGAGGACCCUCUGACAAAAGUGGUUCGUACCCGGUAUCAGGUGCGCUAGCCACACCAGCUAAUAACUUCUCGCACAGGCAGGGAGCAAACGACCGAAUACUAGAUUUGUACCAGCUUCGCCAUCCAGUGACUCGACGGAUUCCUGCAAAGUUGGACGUAUCCCGAACUUCCGCCAGAAAUCGUAACCUAGGAUGCAUCGCCGGUUCAACUCUGGAGCGACAAGGACGGACAACAACUUGGUGACCCCAUUGAAGGUGACCGGGAUAUCUACGGCCCCAAUGACCUCCAGAUGUUGGCCUCCAGCUGU
This is a long non-coding RNA of Uranotaenia lowii, 538 nucleotides long. RefSeq lists it as uncharacterized. NCBI's taxonomy places the organism in Eukaryota, Metazoa, Arthropoda, Insecta, Diptera, Culicidae. The record is from RefSeq and is a predicted model, not a curated record. The transcript has 3 exons.